GACGAACGCUGGCGGCGUGCCUAAUACAUGCAAGUCGAGCGGACGAAUCGAAAGCUUGCUUUUGAUUCGUUAGCGGCGGACGGGUGAGUAACACGUGGGCAACCUGCCCUGUAGACGGGGAUAACACCGAGAAAUCGGUGCUAAUACCGGAUAACACGAAAUGUCGCAUGACGUUUCGUUGAAAGACGGCGCAAGCUGUCGCUACAGGAUGGGCCCGCGGCGCAUUAGCUAGUUGGUGAGGUAACGGCCCACCAAGGCGACGAUGCGUAGCCGACCUGAGAGGGUGAUCGGCCACACUGGGACUGAGACACGGCCCAGACUCCUACGGGAGGCAGCAGUAAGGAAUCUUCCGCAAAGGACGAAAGUCUGACGGAGCAACGCCGCGUGAGCGAAGAAGGCCUUCGGGUCGUAAAGCUCUGUUGUUAGGGAAGAACAAGUAACGCAGUAACUGGCGUUACCGUGACGGUACCUAACGAGAAAGCCACGGCUAACUACGUG
This 498-nucleotide ribosomal RNA is filed under the name uncultured bacterium. RNAcentral's name for it is "partial 16S ribosomal RNA". It matches the Rfam family "Bacterial small subunit ribosomal RNA", at positions 28 to 507 of the family's 1533-position model. The record is from RNAcentral.